Long non-coding RNA from Alexandromys fortis (reed vole), 2477 nucleotides. RefSeq lists it as uncharacterized. Lineage: Eukaryota; Metazoa; Chordata; Mammalia; Rodentia; Cricetidae. The record is from RefSeq and is a predicted model, not a curated record. The transcript is spliced from 4 exons.
GUUUCUGGGUCUGGGUUACCUCACUCAAUAUGAUGUUUUCUAGAUCCAUCCAUUUGCUUGAAAAUUUCAAGAUGUUGUUAUUUUUUCUGCUGUGUAGUACUCCAUUGUGUAAAUGUACAUUUUUCUUAUCCAUUCUUCCGUCAGGGGACAUUUAGGUUGUUUCCAGGUUGUGCUGUGACAAACAAUGCUGCCAUGACCCAUGUCACCUUCUAACCCAUGAUCUGAAACCCCACCGAGAAAUGGUCUGUAUUGAGAGGUGGAGCUGACUCUGCAGUAACUAUCACCGACUGUCAUUGGAUUGGCCACGUUCUGGAGAAAGAAAGGCCACACCUGCCUCCAUCUCCUUUGGGGAUCAAAUAGAGAAUCCAUGUCAACCUUGAGCAGAAAAAAAAAAUUCUAGAGACUCAUGUGGCAACAAUGACCAAGAAGGCUUCCCAAAUGUGACUGAAGGUACAAACAAAUCUGGGCCUCUGACCCUCUUUUCUGCUGGAAGAAUUAGUGACCUAUACCUUCGGAUGGAAGAACAGGACAGGUACUGUCAUUUCUACACAAUUCAUGCAUUGUUCGGGGACCUUAUUGUUGAGUGCUUUUCAUAUGCUGUGUCCCCAGGAAGAUGGCUAUCUCAUCAUAAGGUGACAUAUUACAGGGCACCGUUGCCUGUGCGGUCAAUCAUUGACCGUAUCACCAUUAUGUUGCACAAGACUGUAUAUAAUCCACAUCCCCUGGAAGUAUUAGGAUGACUCUCCUGCACCUGCUGUGCACAACUGUGGUCGACGGGGUUCUCUCCUGCUUUGAUAACUGGCAAGUUCUAGCAGAGAGGAUUUAGGGUUCCUCCUCCCAAACAUGAGUUCCUUAAACAAGGGGCACAGCUCAGACCCUGUUCAAGUGCUUGCCUGAAGGCACCGUGAAAAGACAGCACCCUGCUCGGCACCAGACUCCUUCUGGCUCCUAAUAAACCAGAGAGCUUGUAUUGACUGUGCAAAGGUUAAAAGCGUACAAACAAAUACAUGGUACAAAGAGUCACCUUUGCUCCUAAAAUUGAUAUAUUACUUCUUAAUCUGAUCAUGUAGAACAUGGCUCUUAAGCCAACACAGGACAUGAUAAAACCUGAUACACAGAACAAUGUACUUUGUAAAAUAGAUGAUUGCAAAACACUUUGAAUGUGUACAGCAUUAUAUGGGUGCUUAAUGAUCACAGCAAUUAUUUUACAACUUAAUUGUGGGAAAAUUAAAGGAAUAAAGUAGCUUAACAGGUUCAAGAAUUUAUCAGACUCUGGAGCACGAGAAAGAUAAACUGGAGAGUUUGUAGUUUAACAUUGCCUCCUGCCACUGUUAGACCCACAGUUAGACUUCUUCGUAGUGUUAAAGCUGGAGACUUGGGGCUGCAUACUCGCUAGGCAAGCAUUCUACCAACUGAAAUGUAUCUACAGCAUGGUGGUGCCUUUUGUGUUGAGGAUUUCUAAAACUGUAGUCAUUGGAUAACCGUGCUGGUCCUGGGCACUCUGUGAAGUGGACUGAAGACACCACCACCUUGUCUUUAGAGACAGUCUCUCAUUAGCUCGCAUCUCACUGUGGCCCGUGAGCCCCAGGUUUCUGGUUGCUUCUGCUCCCCCAGCCGUGGGAUCCUAAGAAGGGGCCACCAAGACUGGCUUCCUAUGUGCACACUGGAGACUGAACUCAGGUCCUUAUACUUCUAUGCCCACCUCCAUCUGAGACAAUUAUCUUUGACGUCUGGAGCUGGAGUCCAUCUUUGCUCAAGAGGACUAGCCCAUCCUGGAGGAAUUUUAAGUGUUCUGCUGGAUACGACUUGUACCGACACAUGUUUAUUUCCACAGCGCACCUGUUUCUCCGGCGGUGGGACCUCUCCGCUCAAGCCAGCCUCAAGCACAGCCUAAGCACAGCCCCACGCCUCCUCCUUCAAAAGAGCAAAAAAUAGCCGGCAUGUACUAACAGCUUAUCCUAGAGCCCCAAACUAUCCCAAGCGUUUUUAUGUACAUCAUCUCAUCUCGUCCCCACAGCAGCUUGGUAAAAUAGCCAGAAGAGAAGCUUGAGGCUCGGAGAGACAAAGCCACUUGCUCGACGUCACACUGUGAUGAAGCAGAGCAAGAAGGAAGCCUAGCAAUCUAAGUCCGGGGUCUGAGUUCCUGCCUAAAGACGGCGGCGGUUAUUUGUGUGGUUUGAAGGAGUUGAGGGCAUUUGGAUGAUAUCAGGUCUUUAUAACGGCCAAGGCCUUGAUCAAUUCUCUAUUACUGUCUUCUCUGCAGCUGUGAGGGGGCACACCAUGCGAGGUUGUCUUCAACACCAACUACACAUUGGCAUUUCCAUAAGGGGAUGUGAUAGAACAUAAUGUGCUAUGGACCCUAAGUCUAUGACAUCACCUGUAUGACGUGGUUACCCGCACACAUCCAUUCAUGUCUACGCAUCAUUCAAAUGUAUAUGUUCAUGUACAUGUAUAUACAUAUGAAAUGUAUAUAUCCA